AACGAACGCUGGCGGCAGGCUUAACACAUGCAAGUCGAGCGGGCACCUUCGGGUGUCAGCGGCGAACGGGUGAGUAACGCGUGGGAACGUGCCCUUUCCUCCGGAAUAGCCUCGGGAAACUGAGAUUAAUGCCGGAUACGCCCUUUUGGGGAAAGAUUUAUCGGGGAAGGAUCGGCCCGCGUUGGAUUAGGUAGUUGGUGGGGUAAUGGCCUACCAAGCCGACGAUCCAUAGCUGGUUUGAGAGGAUGAUCAGCCACACUGGGACUGAGACACGGCCCAGACUCCUACGGGAGGCAGCAGUGGGAAUCUUGGACAAUGGGGGCAACCCUGAUCCAGCCAUGCCGCGUGAUCGAUGAAGGCCUUAGGGUUGUAAAGAUCUUUCAGCUGGGAAGAUAAUGACGGUACCAGCAGAAGAAGCCCCGGCUAACUCCGUG
This 434-nucleotide ribosomal RNA is filed under the name uncultured bacterium. RNAcentral's name for it is "bacterial SSU rRNA". It matches the Rfam family "Bacterial small subunit ribosomal RNA", at positions 29 to 507 of the family's 1533-position model. The record is from RNAcentral.